GACAGAGGGUGCAAACGUUGUUCGGAAUUACUGGGCGUAAAGCGUGUGUAGGCGGCUAAGUAAGUCAGAUGUGAAAGCCCCGGGCUCAACCCGGGAAGUGCAUUUGAUACUGCCUAGCUUGAGUAUCGGAGAGGUUGGUGGAAUUCUUGGUGUAGAGGUGAAAUUCGUAGAUAUCAAGAGGAACACCGGUGGCGAAGGCGGCCAACUGGACGAAUACUGACGCUGAGACACGAAAGCGUGGGGAGCAAACAGG
RNAcentral lists this ribosomal RNA (253 nucleotides) under uncultured bacterium. Its description in RNAcentral is "partial 16S ribosomal RNA". It matches the Rfam family "Bacterial small subunit ribosomal RNA", at positions 524 to 776 of the family's 1533-position model. The record is from RNAcentral.